RNAcentral lists this ribosomal RNA (103 nucleotides) under uncultured bacterium. RNAcentral describes it as "16S ribosomal RNA". It matches the Rfam family "Bacterial small subunit ribosomal RNA", at positions 355 to 456 of the family's 1533-position model. The record is from RNAcentral.
UGGGGAAUAUUGCACAAUGGGGGAAACCCUGAUGCAGCGACGCCGCGUGGAGGAAGAAGUGUCUUCGGAUUGUAAACUCCUGUUGUUGAGGAAGAUAAUGACG